Molecule: ribosomal RNA, 253 nt
Filed under: uncultured bacterium
Lineage: Bacteria
Description: partial 16S ribosomal RNA
Rfam family: Bacterial small subunit ribosomal RNA
Source: RNAcentral
UACAGAGGGUGCUAACGUUGUUCGGAAUCACUGGGCUUAAGGCGCACGUAGGCGGCUAGGCAAGUGCGAUGUGAAAGCCCCCGGCCCAACCGGGGAACUGCAUCGUAGACUGCCUGGCUUGAGAGCGGUAGGGGAGACUAGAACUCCUGGUGGAGCGGUGAAAUGCGUAGAUAUCAGGAGGAAUACCGGUGGCGAAGGCGAGUCUCUGGUCCGCUUCUGACGCUCAUGUGCGAAAGCUAGGGGAGCAAACGGG